Long non-coding RNA from Vigna angularis (adzuki bean), 365 nucleotides. RefSeq lists it as uncharacterized. The record is from RefSeq and is a predicted model, not a curated record. NCBI's taxonomy places the organism in Eukaryota, Viridiplantae, Streptophyta, Magnoliopsida, Fabales, Fabaceae. The transcript has 3 exons.
UACCGUAUGACAAUUGAUGCAGGAGUUAGAUUUGACAAAUGUUCGUGAACUUGAAGAUUGCAUGUAUUACCCUAUGACAAAUUACAAACCAUAGAGAUAGUUGGAAGAGUCAUUAUGGAGAAACAGGUUUAUGUACGACAUUCAUGCAGGACAAAAUACUUGGCACAUGUGAACACAUUAUUAACAUAUGUGCAAAAGACAUUGAUACAAACAACUCCUUUUGCAUGGCUAUUGUCCAUUGAUGUGGAUGCCAAAAUGAGUAGGACACUACUUUUAGAAUUGUGUAGUAGAUGGUCAGAGAGGAGGGGCGGGUUUGAAGUUAGGUCUGUCUUUAUUCCAUUCACCAAGUUAGACCUUUGUUUAGG